UGGGGAAUAUUGCACAAUGGGCGCAAGCCUGAUGCAGCCAUGCCGCGUGUAUGAAGAAGGCCUUCGGGUUGUAAAGUACUUUCAGUCGGGAGGAAGGUGGUAAGGUUAAUAACCUUAUCAAUUGACGUUACCGACAGAAGAAGCACCGGCUAACUCCGUGCCAGCAGCCGCGGUAAUACGGAGGGUGCAAGCGUUAAUCGGAAUUACUGGGCGUAAAGCGCACGCAGGCGGUUGAUUGAGUCAGAUGUGAAAUCCCCGGGCUUAACCCGGGAAGUGCAUCUGAUACUGGUCAGCUAGAGUCUUGUAGAGGGGGGUAGAAUUCCAUGUGUAGCGGUGAAAUGCGUAGAGAUGUGGAGGAAGACCGGUGGCGAAGGCGGCCCCCUGGACAAAGACUGACGCUCAGGUGCGAAAGCGUGGGGAGCAAACAGG
RNAcentral lists this ribosomal RNA (429 nucleotides) under Chloroflexota bacterium. RNAcentral describes it as "Chloroflexi bacterium partial 16S ribosomal RNA". It matches the Rfam family "Bacterial small subunit ribosomal RNA", at positions 355 to 776 of the family's 1533-position model. Lineage: Bacteria; Bacillati; Chloroflexota. The record is from RNAcentral.